UGAGGAAUAUUAGUCAAUGGGGGCAACCCUGAACCAGCCAAGUCGCGUGAAGGAUGAAGGUCUUAUGGAUUGUAAACUUCUUUUACACGGGAAUAAAGCGGGGGACGUGUCCCUCUUUGCAUGUACCGUGUGAAUAAGGAUCGGCUAACUCCGUGCCAGCAGCCGCGGUAAUACGGAGGAUCCGAGCGUUAUCCGGAUUUAUUGGGUUUAAAGGGUGCGCAGGCGGGAUGUUAAGUCGGCGGUGAAAUUUUGCAGCUCAACUGUAAAAGUGCCUUCGAUACUGGCCUUCUUGAGUGUGGAUGAAGUAGGCGGAAUUUGUGGUGUAGCGGUGAAAUGCUUAGAUAUCACGAGGAACUCCGAUUGCGCAGGCAGCUUACUAAGCCACAACUGACGCUCAUGCACGAAGGCGUGGGGAUCAAACA
Molecule: ribosomal RNA, 422 nt
Filed under: uncultured bacterium
Lineage: Bacteria
Description: bacterial SSU rRNA
Rfam family: Bacterial small subunit ribosomal RNA
Source: RNAcentral